UACGUAGGGUGCAGGCGUUAAUCGGAAUUACUGGGCGUAAAGCGUGCGCAGGCGGUCUAUUAAGACAGGUGUGAAAUCCCCGGGCUUAACCUGGGAACUGCGCUUGUAACUGAUAGGCUGGAGUGUGGCAGAGGGGGGUGGAAUUCCACGUGUAGCAGUGAAAUGCGUAGAGAUGUGGAGGAACACCGAUGGCGAAGGCAGCCCCCUGGGCUAACACUGACGCUCAUGCACGAAAGCGUGGGGAGCAAACAGG
Molecule: ribosomal RNA, 253 nt
Filed under: uncultured bacterium
Lineage: Bacteria
Description: partial 16S ribosomal RNA
Rfam family: Bacterial small subunit ribosomal RNA
Source: RNAcentral